AAAUAAUGCUAAUAAUCUAGUCUUUAUUUUCUUAAACAAAGUCCAGUUUUUUUAGGAAAUAUUGCGCAUUUUGUUUGUUUGUUUUGUUUGCUAAUAAUUAUUAUGGGGGUAUCUGCAACCAGACGGCGACAUAGUUAGAUGACCUUGACACGCUGUUUACAUUUUGCCCCCAGGACAAGGUUGUAAUUGGUUAGCUGAUGGCUUUUAGUGAGUGCACUACUCAAUCUCAUUUUACCAGAUAGACAACGUGGUGUUCAAGUAUAGUUUUCUUUUUAGUUCAACAAUGAAUACUGUAAAUUUCAUUCCAACUCCAUACAUUCCCGAAAAGAGUCGCAUUGUUUGUCAGGUCGUUUACGAAAGUUGUGCAGAUUAUAUUAUUCGCAAAUUCGGUAAGUGUUUUUUUUUCCAUAAGCCUAAGGUAAAAUUUAAUAGGCCAAUUUUCUAUUGCGUCUGCAUGCACACGUGCGCAUGUUCGUACGUAAAGCGCCUUGUUAAAAAUUAACUAUAAUGUAUAUUAUUUUUAUGGACACUAGACGAAGAAGUAAUUGUCGAAGGAGUCCAGUUAAGUCGAACAAUGCCCAUUGAAAAAAUUAAAAAGGGGACUGAUAAUAUUCAUGUUAUUCUUUAUUUGCGACAAGAAGCUAUUCCUACAUAUCAGAAUGUUUUAUUGACCUUGAUGACAGACUUUAAUAAAUGUAUUGUUACCCGUGCUCUUAUUACAAAAAAGAGCAUUAUGGGAAUCGUCCAUCCAAAGUUUGAAAAAGUUAUGCUGAAAUACAAAGUGAUGUUCGAUGUUAGACGAUAUACAACUCAUUAUCGCAUUGAAAUAAAAGGAGCCAGAGGAAAGGUGCGUACGGCAAUUAGAUAUCUUGUUGGACUUGCAGAAGCCUGUUGCAUUAAGACGAAGAACGUUAUGGUCCCUGAACCAGUACCUGGCGAGCCAGCUAUGAAUAUUGAAAAUGACACGCUAUCUGAUCUAGACGAGUCCGAGAAGGAGGAUAUCAGGAAAGGUAUUGAAAAUAACCCGCGAACGAAACUUGCAGAAAUGGAAUUGAAAGCUCAAAGGAAAUAUCUGUUGAAAUUAAAACUUGAAGAAAUGAAACAGCGAAAAGCAAUUGCUCGGUUCCGAGGACAACGAAUCAAGAGAUUACGAAGAAAGUGUUAUUUUAAAGGAAAAAGGAACAUUCCAAAACCAUUGACCAAAGUUGACAGUGAAGCUGACAAUGAAGCCGACGAUGAAGCUGAAGAUGAUGAUGAAGAUGUUCAUGAAAUUAUAGUUAUUUCCGAUGAUGAAGACCAGGAAGUAGUUGAAGUUUUUAGUUCCGACUAAGGAGAUAAAAAUGUUAUUAAGUCGUUAAAUAUCAAGAAUAGAAAAGGAAAGUUUUUGUUUGUUGACCCUUAUGAUAAAAAAUAAAAUACAGUUAUUUAAACUGAUUAAUGAGAAUUUUAUUGCAAAC
This 1457-nucleotide unclassified non-coding RNA is filed under the name Dimorphilus gyrociliatus. RNAcentral describes it as "dgyrCDS9231". The record is from RNAcentral. Lineage: Eukaryota; Metazoa; Annelida; Polychaeta; Dinophilidae.